GGCCCUUCGGGGUACUCGAGCGGCGAACGGGUGAGUAACACGUGAGCAACCUGCCUUCAGCUCUGGGAUAAGCCUGGGAAACUGGGUCUAAUACCGGAUAGGACUCCUGCCUGCAUGGGUGGGGGUGGAAAGAUUUAUUGGCUGAAGAUGGGCUCGCGGCCUAUCAGCUUGUUGGUGGGGUGAUGGCCUACCAAGGCUUUUACGGGUAGCCGGCCUGAGAGGGCGACCGGCCACACUGGGACUGAGACACGGCCCAGACUCCUACGGGAGGCAGCAGUGGGGAAUAUUGCACAAUGGGCGGAAGCCUGAUGCAGCAACGCCGCGUGAGGGAUGACGGCCUUCGGGUUGUAAACCUCUUUCAGCGGGGACGAAGCGCAAGUGACGGUACCCGCAGAAGAAGCGCCGGCCAACUACGUGCCAGCAGCCGCGGUAACACGUAGGGCGCGAGCGUUGUCCGGAAUUAUUGGGCGUAAAGGGCUCGUAGGCGGUUUGUUGCGUCGAAAGUGAAAAUCCGGGGCUUAACUCCGGACUUGCUUUCGAUACGGGCAGACUAGAGGUAGGCAGGGGAGAGUGGAAUUCCUGGUGUAGCGGUGGAAUGCGC
Molecule: ribosomal RNA, 601 nt
Filed under: Actinopolymorpha sp. YIM M11259
Lineage: Bacteria; Bacillati; Actinomycetota; Actinomycetes; Propionibacteriales; Actinopolymorphaceae
Description: bacterial SSU rRNA
Rfam family: Bacterial small subunit ribosomal RNA
Source: RNAcentral